CGCGUAGGCGGGGAGGUAGGUCGGGUGUGAAAUCCCUCGGCCCAACCGAGGAACUGCGCCCGAGACUGCUUCUCUUGAGUCCCGGAGAGGAAGAUGGAAUUCCCGGUGUAGCGGUAAAAUGUGUAGAGAUCGGGAGGAACACCGGUGGCGAAGGCGGUCUUCUGGACGGUGACUGACGCUGAGGCGCGAAAGCGUGGGGAGCAAACG
This 207-nucleotide ribosomal RNA is filed under the name uncultured bacterium. RNAcentral describes it as "partial 16S ribosomal RNA". It matches the Rfam family "Bacterial small subunit ribosomal RNA", at positions 568 to 774 of the family's 1533-position model. The record is from RNAcentral.